GGGUUGUGAGGUUAAGCGACUAAGCGUACACGGUGGAUGCCCUGGCAGUCAGAGGCGAUGAAGGACGUGCUAAUCUGCGAUAAGCGCCGGUAAGGUGAUAUGAACCGUUAUAACCGGCGAUUUCCGAAUGGGGAAACCCAGUGUGAUUCGUCACACUAUCAUUAACUGAAUCCAUAGGUUAAUGAGGCGAACCGGGGGAACUGAAACAUCUAAGUACCCCGAGGAAAAGAAAUCAACCGAGAUUCCCCCAGUAGCGGCGAGCGAACGGGGAGGAGCCCAGAGCCUGAAUCAGCAUGUGUGUUAGUGGAAGCGUCUGGAAAGGCGCGCGAUACAGGGUGACAGCCCCGUACACAAAAAUGCACAUGCUGUGAGCUCGAUGAGUAGGGCGGGACACGUGGUAUCCUGUCUGAAUAUGGGGGGACCAUCCUCCAAGGCUAAAUACUCCUGACUGACCGAUAGUGAACCAGUACCGUGAGGGAAAGGCGAAAAGAACCCCGGCGAGGGGAGUGAAAAAGAACCUGAAACCGUGUACGUACAAGCAGUGGGAGCACCCUUUGGGGUGUGACUGCGUACCUUUUGUAUAAUGGGUCAGCGACUUAUAUUCUGUAGCAAGGUUAACCGUAUAGGGGAGCCGGAGGGAAACCGAGUCUUAACCGGGCGUUAAGUUGCAGGGUAUAGACCCGAAACCCGGUGAUCUAGCCAUGGGCAGGUUGAAGGUUGGGUAACACUAACUGGAGGACCGAACCGACUAAUGUUGAAAAAUUAGCGGAUGACCUGUGGCUGGGGGUGAAAGGCCAAUCAAACCGGGAGAUAGCUGGUUCUCCCCGAAAGCUAUUUAGGUAGCGCCUCGUGAA
RNAcentral lists this ribosomal RNA (854 nucleotides) under Salmonella enterica subsp. enterica serovar Albany. RNAcentral describes it as "partial 23S ribosomal RNA". It matches the Rfam family "Bacterial large subunit ribosomal RNA", at positions 1 to 888 of the family's 2925-position model. Lineage: Bacteria; Pseudomonadati; Pseudomonadota; Gammaproteobacteria; Enterobacterales; Enterobacteriaceae. The record is from RNAcentral.